Molecule: ribosomal RNA, 439 nt
Filed under: uncultured bacterium
Lineage: Bacteria
Description: partial 16S ribosomal RNA
Rfam family: Bacterial small subunit ribosomal RNA
Source: RNAcentral
CUACGGGCGGCUGCAGUGAGGAAUAUUGCACAAUGGGGGGAACCCUGAUGCAGCAACGCCGCGUGGAGGAUGACGCAUUUCGGUGUGUAAACUCCUUUUAUAUGUCAAGAAAAUGACGGUAGCAUAUGAAUAAGCACCGGCUAACUCCGUGCCAGCAGCCGCGGUAAUACGGAGGGUGCAAGCGUUACUCGGAAUCACUGGGCGUAAAGGGCGCGUAGGCGGGUUGGAAAGUCAGGUGUGAAAUCCUACAGCUUAACUGUAGAACUGCACUUGAAACUUCUAAUCUAGAGUAUGGGAGGGGGAGAUGGAAUUAGUGGUGUAGGGGUGAAGUCCGUAGAUAUCACUAGGAAUACCUAAAGCGAAGGCGAUCUCCUGGAACAUUACUGACGCUAAGGCGUGAAAGCGUGGGGAGCAAACAGGAUUAGAUACCCGUGUAGUC